UUCUGACGCGAGCCCACGUCGCUCGCCAUUCACCGCGUCUCAACUCGAUCGAUUCGAUGUUUUAACUCGAUUUAUUCGUGUGACGAAUCAACGGUUUACUGAAGGACGUUACAGAUCAGUAUUAAAAUCAGUGUUACCUGAAGUGAUUUGUGUAGUAUUAAUGACAAGUGAAUCAAGACUGAGUUGACAAUGGGGGAGGGUAGUUAGUGACGAUGUGCACGAGGUGACGGCUGGACCAGCCGGUCUGGCUGCGAGGGGAACCCCCGGAAACAUUCCUCUACUAAAAAUACUGACCCAGGGCCCGGGAGAAAAAGGCAAGGAGAUCUGCAAAA
Ostrinia furnacalis (Asian corn borer) is the source of this 332-nucleotide long non-coding RNA. RefSeq lists it as uncharacterized. Lineage: Eukaryota; Metazoa; Arthropoda; Insecta; Lepidoptera; Crambidae. The record is from RefSeq and is a predicted model, not a curated record. The transcript has 2 exons.